RNAcentral lists this ribosomal RNA (492 nucleotides) under uncultured bacterium. Its description in RNAcentral is "partial 16S ribosomal RNA". It matches the Rfam family "Bacterial small subunit ribosomal RNA", at positions 29 to 507 of the family's 1533-position model. The record is from RNAcentral.
AGUGAACGCUGGCGGUAGGCCUAACACAUGCAAGUCGAACGGCAGCACAGUAAGAGCUUGCUCUUACGGGUGGCGAGUGGCGGACGGGUGAGGAAUACAUCGGAAUCUACUUUUUCGUGGGGGAUAACGUAGGGAAACUUACGCUAAUACCGCAUACGACCUACGGGUGAAAGCAGGGGAUCUUCGGACCUUGCGCGAUUGAAUGAGCCGAGGUCGGAUUAGCUAGUUGGCGGGGUAAAGGCCCACCAAGGCGACGAUCCGUAGCUGGUCUGAGAGGAUGAUCAGCCACACUGGAACUGAGACACGGUCCAGACUCCUACGGGAGGCAGCAGUGGGGAAUAUUGGACAAUGGGCGAAAGCCUGAUCCAGCCAUGCCGCGUGGGUGAAGAAGGCCUUCGGGUUGUAAAGCCCUUUUGUUGGGAAAGAAAAGCAGCAGGUUAAUACCCCGCUGUUCUGACGGUACCCAAAGAAUAAGCACCGGCUAACUUCGUG